AAUUAACGCUGGCGGCAUGCCUAACACAUGCAAGUCGCACGAGAAAGCCCGGUUCGCCGGGCAAGUAAAGUGGCGCACGGGUGAGUAACGCGUGGAUAAUCUACCUCAUUCUGGGGGAUAACGUACCGAAAGGUGCGCUAAUACCGCAUAACCCGGUUGAUUUUCGGAUUGACCGGUAAAGGUGACCUCUUCAUGAAAGUUACCGGGAAGAGAUGAGUCCGCGUCCCAUUAGCUUGUUGGUGGGGUAAUGGCCUACCAAGGCUCCGAUGGGUAGCUGGUCUGAGAGGACGAUCAGCCACACUGGAACUGGAACACGGUCCAGACUCCUACGGGAGGCAG
This 339-nucleotide ribosomal RNA is filed under the name uncultured Pseudomonadota bacterium. RNAcentral describes it as "bacterial SSU rRNA". It matches the Rfam family "Bacterial small subunit ribosomal RNA", at positions 29 to 351 of the family's 1533-position model. The record is from RNAcentral. Lineage: Bacteria; Pseudomonadati; Pseudomonadota.